AUUGAACGCUGGCGGCAGGCCUAACACAUGCAAGUCGAGCGGCAGCGGAAAGUAGCUUGCUACUUUGCCGGCGAGCGGCGGACGGGUGAGUAAUGUCUGGGAAACUGCCUGAUGGAGGGGGAUAACUACUGGAAACGGUAGCUAAUACCGCAUGACCUCGAAAGAGCAAAGUGGGGGAUCUUCGGACCUCACGCCAUCGGAUGUGCCCAGAUGGGAUUAGCUAGUAGGUGAGGUAAUGGCUCACCUAGGCGACGAUCCCUAGCUGGUCUGAGAGGAUGACCAGCCACACUGGAACUGAGACACGGCCCAGACUCCUACGGGAGGCAGCAGUGGGGAAUAUUGCACAAUGGGCGCAAGCCUGAUGCAGCCAUGCCGCGUGUGUGAAGAAGGCCUUAGGGUUGUAAAGCACUUUCAGCGAGGAGGAAGGCAUCAUACUUAAUACGUGUGGUGAUUGACGUUACUCGCAGAAGAAGCACCGGCUAACUCCGUGCCAGCAGCCGCGGUAAUACGGAGGGUGCAAGCGUUAAUCGGAAUUACUGGGCGUAAAGCGCACGCAGGCGGUUUGUUAAGUCAGAUGUGGAAUCCCCGCGCUUAACGUGGGAACUGCAUUUGAAACUGGCAAGCUAGAGUCUUGUAGAGGGGGGUAGAAUUCCAGGUGUAGCGGUGAAAUGCGUAGAGAUCUGGAGGAAUACCGGUGGCGAAGGCGGCCCCCUGGACAAAGACUGACGCUCAGGUGCGAAAGCGUGGGGAGCAAACAGG
Molecule: ribosomal RNA, 759 nt
Filed under: uncultured Enterobacteriaceae bacterium
Lineage: Bacteria; Pseudomonadati; Pseudomonadota; Gammaproteobacteria; Enterobacterales; Enterobacteriaceae
Description: bacterial SSU rRNA
Rfam family: Bacterial small subunit ribosomal RNA
Source: RNAcentral